AACGAACGCUGGCGGCAUGCCUAACACAUGCAAGUCGAACGAGACCUUCGGGUCUAGUGGCGCACGGGUGCGUAACGCGUGGGAACCUGCCCUUAGGUUCGGAAUAACUCCCCGAAAGGGGUGCUAAUACCGGAUAAUGUCUUCGGACCAAAGAUUUAUCGCCUUUGGAUGGGCCCGCGUUGGAUUAGCUAGUUGGUAGGGUAAAAGCCUAACAAGGCGACGAUCCAUAGCUGGUCUGAGAGGAUGAUCAGCCACACUGGGACUGAGACACGGCCCAGACUACUACGGGAGGAAGCAGUGGGGAAUAUUGGAAAAUGGGCGAAAGCCUGAUCCAGCAAUGCCGCGUGAGUGAUGAAGGCCUUAGGGUUGUAAAGCUCUUUUACCCGGGAUGAUAAUGACAGUACCGGGAGAAUAAGCUCCGGCUAACUACGUG
This 433-nucleotide ribosomal RNA is filed under the name uncultured bacterium. RNAcentral's name for it is "partial 16S ribosomal RNA". It matches the Rfam family "Bacterial small subunit ribosomal RNA", at positions 29 to 507 of the family's 1533-position model. The record is from RNAcentral.